Molecule: ribosomal RNA, 412 nt
Filed under: uncultured microorganism
Description: bacterial SSU rRNA
Rfam family: Archaeal small subunit ribosomal RNA
Source: RNAcentral
GUGCAGCAGGCGCGAAAACUUCGCAAUGCGCGAAAGCGCGACGAGGGGAUUCCAAGUGCAUGCACUAAGUGUAUGCUUUUCGUGAGUUUAAAACGCUCACGGAAUAAGGGCUGGGUAAGACUGGUGCCAGCCGCCGCGGUAAUACCAGCGGCCCUAGUGGCGAUCGUUAUUAUUGGGCCUAAAGCGUCCGUAGCCGGUCCGGUAAAUCUCUGGGUAAAUCGUUGGGCUUAACUCAGCGAAUUCUGGGGAGACUGCUGGACUUGGGACCGGGAGAGGUCGGAGGUACUCCAGGGGUAGGGGUGAAAAUCCUGUAAUCCUUGGGGGACCACCGGUGGCGAAGGCGUCCGACCAGAACGGGUCCGACGGUAAGGGACGAAGCCCUGGGGCGCGAACCGGAUUAGAUACCCCCGUA